CAAAGUGUAGCUUAACCAAAGCACCUGGCUUACACCCAGAAGACUUCAUACGACAUGACCACUUUGA
This 67-nucleotide transfer RNA is filed under the name Martes americana (American marten). RNAcentral describes it as "tRNA-Val". It matches the Rfam family "tRNA". Rfam says of the family: Transfer RNA (tRNA) molecules are approximately 80 nucleotides in length. Their secondary structure includes four short double-helical elements and three loops (D, anti-codon, and T loops). Lineage: Eukaryota; Metazoa; Chordata; Mammalia; Carnivora; Mustelidae. The record is from RNAcentral.